GGGCAUUUAGCUCAGUUGGUUAGAGCGCUACAUUCACAUUGUAGAGGUCAGAGGUUCAAGUCCUCUAAUGCCCA
RNAcentral lists this transfer RNA (74 nucleotides) under Candidatus Omnitrophota bacterium. Its description in RNAcentral is "Candidatus Omnitrophica bacterium (groundwater metagenome) tRNA-Val". It matches the Rfam family "tRNA". From Rfam's summary of the family: Transfer RNA (tRNA) molecules are approximately 80 nucleotides in length. Their secondary structure includes four short double-helical elements and three loops (D, anti-codon, and T loops). The record is from RNAcentral. Lineage: Bacteria; Pseudomonadati; Candidatus Omnitrophota.